UCCGUAGGUGAACCUGCGGAGGGAUCAUUACACAAAUAUGAAGGCGGGCUGGAACCUCUCGGGGUUACAGCCUUGCUGAAUUAUUCACCCUUGUCUUUUGCGUACUUCUUGUUUCCUUGGUGGGUUCGCCCACCACUAGGACAAACAUAAACCUUUUGUAAUUGCAAUCAGCGUCAGUAACAAAUUAAUAAUUACAACUUUCAACAACGGAUCUCUUGGUUCUGGCAUCGAUGAAGAACGCAGCGAAAUGCGAUAAGUAGUGUGAAUUGCAGAAUUCAGUGAAUCAUCGAAUCUUUGAACGCACAUUGCGCCCUUUGGUAUUCCAAAGGGCAUGCCUGUUCGAGCGUCAUUUGUACCCUCAAGCUUUGCUUGGUGUUGGGCGUCUUGUCUCUAGCUUUGCUGGAGACUCGCCUUAAAGUAAUUGGCAGCCGGCCUACUGGUUUCGGAGCGCAGCACAAGUCGCACUCUCUAUCAGCAAAGGUCUAGCAUCCAUUAAGCCUUUUUUUCAACUUUUGACCUCGGAUCAGGUAGGGAUACCCGCUGAACUUAA
This 550-nucleotide ribosomal RNA is filed under the name Alternaria sp. MUCL 42475. RNAcentral describes it as "eukaryotic LSU rRNA". The stretch from base 196 to 349 matches the Rfam family "5.8S ribosomal RNA". Lineage: Eukaryota; Fungi; Ascomycota; Dothideomycetes; Pleosporales; Pleosporaceae. The record is from RNAcentral.